AGUACCCUCUGUCAAAGGAAGAUGCUAACCCCAGCAGACAGAGACUAUCUGGCAAUACCCACCCUGGGUCUGCCAGGCCCCAUGGGCUCCUGGGACUGCAGGAUCCCGGGCUUGGGAUUGCGAUGGGCUGGAGGAAGG
Molecule: long non-coding RNA, 138 nt
Filed under: Mus pahari (shrew mouse)
Lineage: Eukaryota; Metazoa; Chordata; Mammalia; Rodentia; Muridae
Description: lncRNA (MGP_PahariEiJ_G0004986.1)
Source: RNAcentral